CCUACGGGAGGCAGCAGUGGGGAAUAUUGGACAAUGGGCGAAAGCCUGAUCCAGCAAUGCCGCGUGAGUGAAGAAGGCCUUCGGGUUGUAAAGCUCUUUUACCCGGGAAGAUAAUGACUGUACCGGGAGAAUAAGCUCCGGCUAACUCCGUGCCAGCAGCCGCGGUAAUACGGAGGGAGCUAGCGUUGUUCGGAAUUACUGGGCGUAAAGCGUACGUAGGCGGCUUGGUAAGUCAGAGGUGAAAGCCCACGACUCAAUCGUGGAACUGCCUUUGAGACUGCUUCGCUUGAAGAUGGGAGAGGUUAGUGGAAUUCCGAGUGUAGAGGUGAAAUUCGUAGAUAUUCGGAAGAACACCAGUGGUGAAGGCGGCUAACUGGACCAUUCUUGACGCUGAGGUACGAAAGCGUGGGGAGCAAACAGGAUUAGAUACCCUGGUAGUCCACGCCGUAAACGAUGAUAACUAGCUGUCGGGGCUCUUGGAGCUUCGGUGGCGCAGCUACGCAUUAAGUUAUCCGUCCGUCGGGUAGGUACGGCCGCGAACGGUUAAAACGUUAAAGGUAAGUUAGUACGGCGUGAGACGUCGCCGAACGACGACGACGAGGGAGUAGG
RNAcentral lists this ribosomal RNA (609 nucleotides) under uncultured bacterium. Its description in RNAcentral is "bacterial SSU rRNA". The stretch from base 1 to 517 matches the Rfam family "Bacterial small subunit ribosomal RNA", at positions 338 to 873 of the family's 1533-position model. The record is from RNAcentral.